GCGCGUGUAGCUCAGUGGAUAGAGCAUCUGACUACGGAUCAGAAGGUCGGGGGUUCGAAUCCUCCCACGCGCG
This 73-nucleotide transfer RNA is filed under the name bacterium. RNAcentral's name for it is "tRNA-Arg". It matches the Rfam family "tRNA". Rfam says of the family: Transfer RNA (tRNA) molecules are approximately 80 nucleotides in length. Their secondary structure includes four short double-helical elements and three loops (D, anti-codon, and T loops). The record is from RNAcentral.